AACGCGAAGAACCUUACCCAGACUUGACAUGCAGAGGAAUAUACCAGAGAUGGUAUAGCCCGCAAGGGUCUUUGCACAGGUGCUGCAUGGCUGUCGUCAGCUCGUGCCGUGAGGUGUUGGGUUAAGUCCCGCAACGAGCGCAACCCUUGUCAUUAGUUGCCAACACGUAAAGGUGGGAACUCUAGUGAGACUGCCUAGGUUAACUAGGAGGAAGGUGAGGAUGACGUCAAGUCCGCAUGGCCCUUAUGUCUGGGGCCACACACGUGCUACAAUGGUCGGUACAGAGGGUAGCCAAGCCGAGAGGUGGAGCAAAUCCCGAGAAAGCCGAUCUCAGUUCGGAUUGUAGUCUGCAACUCGACUACAUGAAGCUGGAAUUGCUAGUAAUGGCGUGUCAGCUAUAACGCCGUGAAUACGUUCCCGGGCCUUGUACACACCGCACGA
This 441-nucleotide ribosomal RNA is filed under the name uncultured bacterium. RNAcentral's name for it is "bacterial SSU rRNA". It matches the Rfam family "Bacterial small subunit ribosomal RNA", at positions 958 to 1397 of the family's 1533-position model. The record is from RNAcentral.